UUUGGGUUACAGUACUGUGGUAGCACCUAGGAGCCCCACACAACAUGGACCAGGACCCCAUUGCGUCUGGCCCCAAAGAGUCUACAGUCUGCGACAAGAAACAACAGGAGGAAACCAGCAGACAGAUGGGGGAGCACAGGCAGACAAUACUGGUCAGCAAAAUGGACAAUGGUCUUAGCCCACCAGCUACCCAGCCACUGUCAAGUGUUUUGUAAGCAUCAUCACAGAGGGGAGUUUAGCUGCUGAUAGUUUCUACUCAGAGGGGACGGUGCAACCAGCCUUGUGUCUAAGCAAACCUACCUCCCAGCUUUGCUGCCUUCUAACAUCCACGCAGCAAAUAGCUGUGGAGUUUUUUGUGUUGUGUUUUUGUAUUUGCAUAGCUGAGUGCCUGUAGUGUGUCUAUAUCAUGAUUCCCAUCUUUGCUUUCAGCACCUCUCACUGACAAUGAUUCACAUUUACAUGGCACCUUCACCCCCAGCUUGUCAGGGAUCUGCUAUGUUUUUAUUUCAUUUACAACAGAAAUAACUGAGAAAACAGAAAUAAAUCAAUUACACCAUCUUGGAA
Gopherus flavomarginatus (Mexican gopher tortoise) is the source of this 564-nucleotide long non-coding RNA. RefSeq lists it as uncharacterized. The record is from RefSeq and is a predicted model, not a curated record. NCBI's taxonomy places the organism in Eukaryota, Metazoa, Chordata, Testudines, Testudinidae. The transcript has 2 exons.